Molecule: non-coding RNA, 906 nt
Organism: Electrophorus electricus (electric eel)
Lineage: Eukaryota; Metazoa; Chordata; Actinopteri; Gymnotiformes; Gymnotidae
Source: RefSeq, a predicted model, not a curated record
CGCCACGCGCAACGCCCAGCGCUCACGAAUGAUGCAAAGCGCUGAAAACGCACAGCAACGUUACGUCAUUAGGACGUGGCAACCUACGAAAACAUGAAACUAUAAAACUAUUUUCAGAAAUUGGAUAAUGCAAAAGAAUAACAAAGCCUAUAAGAAAUUAUCGACGUGAUGAAUAAUCUUUAUUCCUGCUGAUUCUGGAAAUACCGAGAAAUACCGACAGACUGACACUUCCUUCAGCCUCCAGAACCAGAGAAUACCACAUAUCCUCUGUAUAUUGCAGAGGAUGAAUGCAAAUGGCCACUGCAGUUUCCAUGGCAACCUGUCUGUGAUUUCAAAUCCUGUUCAUGGUUUUGCCUCUGACUCUCCAGUCUCCCCCAUCCUGAUCCAUGCCAGGUUUUCCGCUGAGCCGAGGACUGUAUAAAAGGAAGAGGAAGAGCAGCGGUCUGUGUAGGGCUCAUUAGAGGAGUGAUUGUGGCUGCUGGUGUUUUGACUUGUUGCUGUUUUUUUGCUGUUUUUUGCUGUUGUGUUGCUUGGGUUUGUGUGUAUGACUUUAGGUUUUCCCCUUGACUUAUGGUUUGUUUUGUCUCUUAUUGGUUUGGUUGCUGGGUAAUAUAUGUUUCUUCUAUCUUGUAUAUAUUGUCCUAUAUAUAGUUACACAUUGGUGGUAGGGAGAGGCUGCCAUUUUGUUUGGGUGUGGGUUUGUCUCUGUUUAUACCAGUAUAGUCCGUGUAGUCAUUCUAUGUUUCUUUUUGUUAGCUUAGGCAGUUGUUUCUGGUGUGGUUUUGUUUGGUUUUGUUUGUUGUGUUGUCCUGGGUCACUCCUGUGCUAUUGCACCAGAUUGUUGUAUAUUUCUGUAUCUGAGCACCAAAACUUGUAAAUAUACUUGACCUUUGACCUUUGCCACCA